RNAcentral lists this ribosomal RNA (492 nucleotides) under uncultured bacterium. RNAcentral's name for it is "partial 16S ribosomal RNA". It matches the Rfam family "Bacterial small subunit ribosomal RNA", at positions 28 to 507 of the family's 1533-position model. The record is from RNAcentral.
GAUGAACGCUAGCUACAGGCUUAACACAUGCAAGUCGAGGGGAAACGGCAUUGAGUGCUUGCACUCUUUGGACGUCGACCGGCGCACGGGUGAGUAGCGCGUAUCCAACCUUCCCAUUACUGUGGGAUAACCUGCCGAAAGGCAGACUAAUACCGCAUAGUCUUCGAUGACGGCAUCAGAUUUGAAGUAAAGAUUUAUCGGUAAUGGAUGGGGAUGCGUCUGAUUAGCUUGUUGGCGGGGUAACGGCCCACCAAGGCUACGAUCAGUAGGGGUUCUGAGAGGAAGGUCCCCCACAUUGGAACUGAGACACGGUCCAAACUCCUACGGGAGGCAGCAGUGAGGAAUAUUGGUCAAUGGACGGAAGUCUGAACCAGCCAAGUAGCGUGCAGGAUGACGGCCCUAUGGGUUGUAAACUGCUUUUGUAUGGGGAUAAAGUUAGGGACGUGUCCCUAUUUGCAGGUACCAUACGAAUAAGGACCGGCUAAUUCCGUG